GACGAACGCUGGCGGCGUGCUUAACACAUGCAAGUCGAACGGAAAGGCCCUGCUUUUGGGGGGUGCUCGAGUGGCGAACGGGUGAGUAACACGUGAGUAACCUGCCCGUGACUUAGGGAUAACUUCAGGAAACUAGGGCUAAUACCGGAUAGGAGCCCCUGCUGCAUGGUGGGGGGUGGAAAGUUUCGGCGGUAGGGGAUGAACGCGCGGCGGAUCAGCUGGUUGGUGGGGAAGUGGCGUACCAAGGCUUUGACGGGUAGCCGGCCUGGGAGGGUGACCGGCGACCUUGGGCCUGCGAGACGCCCCAGACUCGUACGGGACGCAGCGGUCGGGAAUAUUGCACAAUGGGCCGGAGCCUGAUGCAGCAGCGCCGCGUGCGUGAUGACGUCUUUCUAGUUGUGAACCGCUUUCUCGUGUGACGAAGCGUGAGUGACGGUACUGGGUCAAGAAGCACCGGCUAACUACGUG
RNAcentral lists this ribosomal RNA (468 nucleotides) under uncultured bacterium. RNAcentral's name for it is "partial 16S ribosomal RNA". It matches the Rfam family "Bacterial small subunit ribosomal RNA", at positions 28 to 507 of the family's 1533-position model. The record is from RNAcentral.